RNAcentral lists this ribosomal RNA (811 nucleotides) under uncultured Mycobacterium sp. Its description in RNAcentral is "bacterial SSU rRNA". It matches the Rfam family "Bacterial small subunit ribosomal RNA", at positions 558 to 1365 of the family's 1533-position model. Lineage: Bacteria; Bacillati; Actinomycetota; Actinomycetes; Mycobacteriales; Mycobacteriaceae. The record is from RNAcentral.
GCGUAAAGAGCUCGUAGGUGGUUUGUCGCGUUGUUCGUGAAAUCUCACGGCUUAACUGUGAGCGUGCGGGCGAUACGGGCAGACUUGAGUACUGCAGGGGAGACUGGAAUUCCUGGUGUAGCGGUGGAAUGCGCAGAUAUCAGGAGGAACACCGAUGGCGAAGGCGGGUCUCUGGGCAGUAACUGACGCUGAGGAGCGAAAGCGUGGGGAGCGAACAGGAUUAGAUACCCUGGUAGUCCACGCCGUAAACGGCGGGUACUAGGUGUGGGUUUCCUUCCUUGGGAUCCGUGCCGUAGCUAACGCAUUAAGUACCCCGCCUGGGGAGUACGGCCGCAAGGGCUAAAACUCAAAGAAAUUGACGGGGGCCCGCACAAGCGGCGGAGCAUGUGGAUUAAUUCGAUGCAACGCGAAGAACCUUACCUGGGUUUGACAUGCACAGGACGCCGGCAGAGAUGUCGGUUCCCUUGUGGCCUGUGUGCAGGUGGUGCAUGGCUGUCGUCAGCUCGUGUCGUGAGAUGUUGGGUUAAGUCCCGCAACGAGCGCAACCCUUGUCUCAUGUUGCCAGCGGGUAAUGCCGGGGACUCGUGAGAGACUGCCGGGGUCAACUCGGAGGAAGGUGGGGAUGACGUCAAGUCAUCAUGCCCCUUAUGUCCAGGGCUUCACACAUGCUACAAUGGCCGGUACAAAGGGCUGCGAUGCCGCGAGGUUAAGCGAAUCCUUUUAAAGCCGGUCUCAGUUCGGAUCGGGGUCUGCAACUCGACCCCGUGAAGUCGGAGUCGCUAGUAAUCGCAGAUCAGCAACGCUGCGGUGA